CCUACGGGAGGCAGCAGUGGGGAAUAUUGCACAAUGGGGGAAACCCUGAUGCAGCGACGCCGCGUGAGUGAAGAAGUAUUUCGGUACGUAAAGCUCUAUCAGCAGGGAAGAAAAUGACGGUACCUGACUAAGAAGCCCCGGCUAACUACGUGCCAGCAGCCGCGGUAAUACGUAGGGGGCAAGCGUUAUCCGGAUUUACUGGGUGUAAAGGGAGCGUAGACGGCAGCGCAAGUCUGGAGUGAAAUCCCAUGGCUUAACCAUGGAACUGCUUUGGAAACUGUGCAGCUAGAGUGCAGGAGAUGUAAGCGGAAUUCCUAGUGUAGCGGGGAAAUGCGUAGAUAUUAGGAGGAACACGAGUGGCGAAGGCGGCUUACUGGACUGUAACUGACGUUGAGGCUCGAAAGCGUGGGGAGCAAACAGGAUUAGAUACCCCAGUAGUC
Molecule: ribosomal RNA, 440 nt
Filed under: uncultured bacterium
Lineage: Bacteria
Description: partial 16S ribosomal RNA
Rfam family: Bacterial small subunit ribosomal RNA
Source: RNAcentral